GACAAAUAUCCCUGCUUAACUUGCUUACAACGUCAUUGGAAGAUGUGCUCCAGCAAAUUACAGGGUUAAACCAAGCAAAAGGAAGCACAGCCUUCCUUUCUGAGUGCCCAGCACUCGGACACCUUUCUUCUACUAGAAAAAUGUACUUGCCUAUUAAUUAAGGCAACCCCACUCCACUCCAACACACACACACACACACACACACAAACACACACACACACAGUACGAUGGCUGAAUACCAUCAUAUGGGCUUCGAAGCAGGGAAUUCUUUUCCAGGCAAAUGGAGAGAACGAAGGGAGACUGCCCUCUCUACGCAAAAGCCACGGUCAGCGGGUGUUCACUGCAUGCUAGACUUACAAAUAAAGUCAACUUACAAAUAAA
This is a long non-coding RNA of Pipistrellus kuhlii (Kuhl's pipistrelle), 381 nucleotides long. RefSeq lists it as uncharacterized. Lineage: Eukaryota; Metazoa; Chordata; Mammalia; Chiroptera; Vespertilionidae. The transcript has 2 exons. The record is from RefSeq and is a predicted model, not a curated record.